Molecule: long non-coding RNA, 463 nt
Filed under: Crocodylus porosus (Australian saltwater crocodile)
Lineage: Eukaryota; Metazoa; Chordata; Crocodylia; Crocodylidae
Description: lncRNA (ENSCPRG00005000313.1)
Source: RNAcentral
CUUGUGCCUGGAGCUGUGCUGAGUUGAAAGAGGAUGCUAAUUCCCCCUCCCUAUUCUCUUCCAGUUUGACUCUGGCAAACUUCUACUGGCUCCAGGAUUGGCCCACAAGAUGGGCUUCAAAGAAUGCGGGGAUAUAUGAAACAUUAGUGUAAUUUCUGCAGCUCCAGCCCAUUUCUCUGCAAUUACCAACCUUGUUCAGAGGGACCCCAUGAGACCUGUUGCCAUCAUCCCCUCUAGGCUCAGCAGUGGAAAAGUGGGGUGGAUGAGAUGGAACCCAUGGAGCUGUUGGUCUCUAUGGAGGAGCUUCAGGAUCAAAGUUGGAGGUGACAGCUCUACACUCAUGCAGCUCUCAAGGAAGUUACUUCUGAUUUACAUCAUUGCAUAUAAGAGAAGAAUCAGGCCCUUUCUAAGGGAUUGGACAUCAUUUCCUGACCCAUGCAACCCCUUGGAACGUGGCCCUUGA